AAAAAUAAAAUGGCAAGUCGAACGAGAGACCUUCGGGUCUCUAGUGGCGAACGGGUGAGUAACACGUAGGGAACCUGCCCUCAAACCGGGAAUACGCUCUGGAAACGGAGAACAAAUCCCCUUGUACAGGAAGGAGGCAUCUUCUUUCUGUGAAACAUCCUUUCGGGGAUGGGGCGCGGAUGGACCUGCGGUGCAUUCUUUGGUUGGCGGGGUAAAGGCCCACCAAGACGAUGAUGCAUAGCCGGCCUGAGAGGGCGGACGGCCACAUUGGGACUGAGACACGGCCCAGACUCCUGCGGGAGGCAGCAGUAGGGAAUUUUCGUCAAUGGGCGCAAGCCUGAACGAGCGAUGCCGCGUGAGUGAAGAAGGCCUUCGGGUCGUAAAGCUCUGUUGCGGGGGAAAAAAGGCAGCAUCAGGAAAUGGGUGCUGACUGAUGGUGCCCCGCCAGAAAGUCACGGCUAACUACGUGCCAGCAGCCGCGGUAAUACGUAGGUGGCGAGCGUUAUCCGGAAUGAUUGGGCGUAAAGGGUGCGCAGGCGGUCCUGCAAGUCUGGAGUGAAACGCAUGAGCUCAACUCAUGCAUGGCUUUGGAAACUGGAGGACUGGAGAGCCGGAGAGGGCGGUGGAACUCCAUGUGUAGCGGUAAAAUGCGUAGAUAUAUGGAAGAACACCAGUGGCGAAGGCGGCCGCCUGGCCUGUUGCUGACGCUGAGGCACGAAUCACUAGUGAAUU
RNAcentral lists this ribosomal RNA (732 nucleotides) under uncultured bacterium. Its description in RNAcentral is "bacterial SSU rRNA". It matches the Rfam family "Bacterial small subunit ribosomal RNA", at positions 47 to 770 of the family's 1533-position model. The record is from RNAcentral.